RNAcentral lists this unclassified non-coding RNA (231 nucleotides) under Hevea brasiliensis (rubber tree). Lineage: Eukaryota; Viridiplantae; Streptophyta; Magnoliopsida; Malpighiales; Euphorbiaceae. The record is from RNAcentral.
GACACCGUCUCCGAGACCUCCAUGGCCGUCGCCAUGGCCGCCCUCGGCGGCGCCGCCGUCAUCCACUGCAAUGUCUCCGCCGUCCGCCAGGCCGACAUCGUCCGCUCCGCCAAGCUCCAUCGCAUUCCCUUCGCCUCUGACCCCGUCUACCUCUCCCCGUCCAACUCUGUCUCCGCCGCCGACUUCAACACAUCCAGCUAUGCUAUCAUCACACAAUCCGGAACCUCAAAG